UACGGAGGGUGCAAGCGUUACUCGGAAUCACUGGGCCUAAAGAGCGCGUAGGCGGGAUAGCAAGUCAGAUGUGAAAUCCUAUGGCUUAACCAUAGAACUGCAUUUGAAACUGUUAUUCUAGAGUAUGGGAGAGGUAGGUGGAAUUCUUGGUGUAGGGGUAAAAUCCGUAGAGAUCAAGAGGAAUACUCAUUGCGAAGGCGACCUGCUAGAACAUAACUGACGCUGAUGCGCGAAAGCGUGGGGAGCAAACAGG
RNAcentral lists this ribosomal RNA (253 nucleotides) under uncultured bacterium. RNAcentral's name for it is "partial 16S ribosomal RNA". It matches the Rfam family "Bacterial small subunit ribosomal RNA", at positions 524 to 776 of the family's 1533-position model. The record is from RNAcentral.